This 578-nucleotide ribosomal RNA is filed under the name Macrotyphula juncea. RNAcentral's name for it is "eukaryotic LSU rRNA". It matches the Rfam family "Eukaryotic large subunit ribosomal RNA", at positions 69 to 664 of the family's 3401-position model. The record is from RNAcentral. Lineage: Eukaryota; Fungi; Basidiomycota; Agaricomycetes; Agaricales; Phyllotopsidaceae.
CAAGGAUUCCCUAGUAACUGCGAGUGAAGCGGGAAAAGCUCAAAUUUAAAAUCUGAUAGUCCGCUGUCCGAGUUGUAAUUUAGAGAAGUGUUAUCCGCGCUGGACCGUGUAUAAGUCUCCUGGAACGGAGCGUCGUAGAGGGUGAGAAUCCCGUAUAUGACACGGACUACCAGGGCUUUGUGAUGCGCUCUCAAAGAGUCGAGUUGUUUGGGAAUGCAGCUCAAAAUGGGUGGUAAAUUCCAUCUAAAGCUAAAUAUAGGCGAGAGACCGAUAGCGAACAAGUACCGUGAGGGAAAGAUGAAAAGAACUUUGGAAAGAGAGUUAAACAGUACGUGAAAUUGUUGAAAAGGAAACGCUUGAAGUCAGUCGCGUUGGCCGGGGAUCAACUUAGUUUUGCUGAGAGCACUUUCCGGUUAACGGGUCAGCAUCAAUUUUGAUUGUUGGAUAAGGUCAGUGGAAUGUGGCAUCUUCGGAUGUGUUAUAGCCAUUGUUCGCAUACAACAGUUGGGAUUGAGGAACUCAGCACCGUGCUUAGGAUGCUGGCAUAAUGGCUUUAAUCGACCGGUCUUGAAACACGG